AUGAUUAGCUCCAAUAUUCUUAUUUGGAAUGUGAGGGGACUGAACAACCCAGCUCGCCGUGGGGUUGUCAGAAGAGUUGUUUUACUGCAUAAUCCUGCGAUUAUCUGCUUGCAAGAAUCAAAGCUAUCUGUUGUAGACCGGCCAACCAUCAGUCAAAUUUGUGGCCCUAGAUGCACUGAAUUCCUUUUUCAGCCUGCCAUUGGAACAAGGGGUGGAAUCAUUAUUGCUUGGGAUCCUGAGGUUGUGGAUGUUGCACUUAUUGAUUGCCAAAAGUCGUUUGUUGCUGUGGACUGCUGCUGGAGACUGACGGAUUCGAGAUUCAGACUUGUCACGGUGUAUGGACUUCAGUCUGAUGCAGAUAAACUGAUAUUCUUGGAUGACUUGAGACUGCUGUACUCCUCAAAUUUGCCUUGCAUUUUCACUGGGGACUUCAACCUUAUUGCCGAGGCCACUGACAAGAACAACAACAACUUGAACAGAAGAACAAUGGCUGCAUUCAGAAGAUUUAUCAACGAACUUGAGCUGCGAGAGAUGUACUUGCAUGGAAGAAAAUACACUUGGACCAACGAGCAGCAGAACGCAACAAAGGUCAAAUUGGACAGGGUUCUCUUCAAUGACCCGUGGAUGUUGGCAUAUCCUUGCUGCAUCCUUGCCGCUCUUGCUACGGAUCUUUCCGAUCACUGCCCCUUGCUACUUUCAACUGAUGCAACCUUUCAGCCACCGAGACACUUCCGAUUUGAUAAUUACUGGACUACUUUUGGGGGCUUCUCCCAGGUGGUCCUCGAUUGCUGGUCGCAGCCCAGAACAUGUUCUGACCCUUACCUCAGGUUGCACUGCAAACUUACUAGAACAGCCAGGUCCCUAAGGAAAUGGAGCUCUACCCACAUUGGUGAUCUCAGGCUUCGCGCUGCAAUCUCUAGUGAGCUGAUCGGUAUGUUUGAUGCUGCUCUAGAUGAGAGAGACCUAACCGAUGGGGAGAGACAGCUAAGGUCUGCCCUCAAGAUGAAUCUGCUGGGGUUUGCAGCUAUGCAGCGUGCUCACAGCCGACAGCGGUCGAGGAUUGACUGGUUAAAAGAUGGUGACGCUAACACAACAUUCUUCCAAGCCAAGGCAUCGGCUAGACGCCAAAAAAAAUUUGUGCUAAGUUUAACGCACAAUGAUAGGGUGCUCACUGCUCAAGAGGAUAAGUUGAAUGCAGUUUGGGAGCACUUCUCCUCUGUUUUGGGGUCUAAAACUCAGAGAGGCUGCAGUAUUAAUUUCAACGCCCUUGGGAUUGCCCCCGUCGAUCUGUCAAGUAUUGAGAGUGCUUUUACAGAAGAAGAGGUGAAGGCUGCGGUUAUGGACAUGAACCCCAGGAAAGCCCCCGGGCCCGAUGGCUACACUGCACUGUUUUUCCAGAGUUGUUGGGACAUUAUAAAGGUGGAUGUGAUGUGUGCGAUUCGAGCUUUUGAGGGGCUGAAUUCCUCAAACCUAGCAAGUCUUAAUACUGCUACUCUGAUUCUCAUUAGAAAAAGGCCAGAUGCACAAGAAGCAAGAGAUUAUAGACCAGUCAGUUUGCUUUCGUUCUUUGCUAAACUCAUAAUGAAAAUUUUAGCAAGAAGACUGCAACCUUGGCUCAAAAAGCUUGUCCUACCAAAGCAGAGUGCAUUCAUAAAAGGAAGAGCCAUCCAUGACAACUUCCUGUUUGUUAAAGGAAUGGUCAGAUCCCUUUAUUUGAAGAAGAUUCCCUCAAUCAUGAUCAAGCUCGACAUAGACAAGGCAUUUGAUAGCGUCUCUUGGGAGUUCUUGAUCGACGUUCUCGCGGCAAAGGGAUUCAGCCUCAAGUGGAGAAAUUGGAUUUCUUCCAUGCUUGCUUCGGCCUCAACCAGAGUCCUUGUUAAUGGGGAAUUGACUGACUACAUCGUGCACCAUAAGGGCCUGAGGCAGGGAGACCCUCUAUCGCCUCUAUUGUUUGUGCUCGUGAUGGACGUCCUUGAUGCUAUGAUUCGUGCAGCAGUUCAUGCCCAGGUGCUCCCACCCCUCGGGCGAAGCCUUCCUUCAGUCAGAGCCUCAUUUUAUGCAGAUGAUGUGAUGAUCUUUGUCAGACCAAACUAUCAAGAAGUCAAUGCUGUAAAGAAGAUCCUCGAUAUUUUUGAGGAUGCUUCUGGCUUAAGGACUAACUACACCAAAAGUAGCUUUUGCCGCAUCAGAUGCGAGGAUGUUGACACUCUUGAGCUGGCCGCACUGCUUCAAUGCCCCAUCAAAGAUUUCCCAGACAUCUACCUUGGCAUGCCCCUCAGUUACACGAGAUUGCAGAAAGUACAUUAUCAGCCUAUUUUUGACAAGCUCCAGCGCAACACCUCCGGAUGGAACAAGCUUAUGCUUCCCACCGCCGGACGGCUUGCUCUGAUCACCUCCGUCUUAUAUGCUUUGCCAGUCUUCCAGAUUUUGGCCAUUGAACCUCCUCGUUGGGCUGUCAAAAAGUUUGACAAAAGAUGCAGAGGGUUCCUUUGGGCAAAUAAAGAUGAGGCAACUAGGGGUAAAUGUCUGGUUAAUUGGAAGUAA
RNAcentral lists this ribosomal RNA (2544 nucleotides) under Triticum aestivum (bread wheat). Its description in RNAcentral is "partial small subunit ribosomal RNA". Lineage: Eukaryota; Viridiplantae; Streptophyta; Magnoliopsida; Poales; Poaceae. The record is from RNAcentral.